This 335-nucleotide long non-coding RNA is filed under the name Mustela putorius furo (domestic ferret). RNAcentral describes it as "lncRNA (ENSMPUG00000028751.1)". The record is from RNAcentral. Lineage: Eukaryota; Metazoa; Chordata; Mammalia; Carnivora; Mustelidae.
CUGGCCUUUUGCCCAUGGCAUGCUACCUGCUGCAAUGGGAAAGACUGAGUCUAAAUGGAGACAAGGAAGCUCCGUCGUACAGAGCGCUCUCCCGCGUGCGUGCUCUGCGAGGUCAUGCCAGGCAGCGAACACCAAAUACUCCAACAAAUCAGUAUCAGAGAGCUUUAAGGAUGAUCCAGCCUGCUUCUGAUACCACUGGCACCACCACUUCUGACACCACCCUCUUCAUCACCUUGGCUUUGCUCUUCCUAGAGUGGGAUAGAACUGUUUGGUAAGUCUUUGAAUUACCCCAAAGCAGGUGAUGGUUCAAUAUAAAGAGAUAUUUUUAGAAGUCU